UGCCUACGGGGGGCAGCAGUGAGGAAUAUUGGUCAAUGGGCGAGAGCCUGAACCAGCCAAGUCGCGUGAAGGAUGACGGCCCUAUGGGUUGUAAACCUCUUUUGUCGGGGAGCAAAGAGAGUCACGUGUGACUCAUUGAGAGUACCCGAAGAAAAAGCAUCGGCUAACUCCGUGCCAGCAGCCGCGGUAAUACGGAGGAUGCGAGCGUUAUCCGGAUUUAUUGGGUUUAAAGGGUGCGCAGGCGGAGGGGCAAGUCAGCGGUCAAAUUGCGGGGCUCAACCCCGUACUGCCGUUGAAACUGCAUC
Molecule: ribosomal RNA, 305 nt
Filed under: uncultured bacterium
Lineage: Bacteria
Description: bacterial SSU rRNA
Rfam family: Bacterial small subunit ribosomal RNA
Source: RNAcentral